CCUACGGGAGGCAGCAGUGAGGAAUAUUGGUCAAUGGACGCAAGUCUGAACCAGCCAUGCCGCGUGCAGGAUGAAGGCUCUAUGAGUUGUAAACUGCUUUUGUACGAGGGUAAUAUCAGAUACGUGUAUCUGCUCGAACGUAUCGUACGAAUAAGGCUCGGCUAAAUCCGUUCCAGCAGCCGCGGUAAUACGGAGGAUCCAAGCGUUAUCCGGAUUUUUUGGGUUUAAAGGGGGCGUAGGCGGUUUUAUAAGUUAGAGGUGAAAAUUCGGGGCUCAACUCCGGACGUGCCGCUAAUACUGUAUGACUAGAGAAGAGAUGCGGUAGGCGGAAUGUAUGGUGUAGCGGUGAAAUGCGUAGAGAUCAUACAGAACACCGAGUGCGAAGGCAGCUUACCAAACUAUAACUGACGCUGAGGCACGAAAGCGUGGGGAGCAAACAGAAUUAGAUACCCGGGUAGUC
Molecule: ribosomal RNA, 460 nt
Filed under: uncultured bacterium
Lineage: Bacteria
Description: partial 16S ribosomal RNA
Rfam family: Bacterial small subunit ribosomal RNA
Source: RNAcentral